AUUGAACGCUGGCGGAAUGCUUUACACAUGCAAGUCGAACGGCAGCAUAGGUGCUUGCACCUGAUGGCGAGUGGCGAACGGGUGAGUAAUAUAUCGGAACGUGCCCAGUCGUGGGGGAUAACGUAGUGAAAAUUACGCUAAUACCGCAUACGAUCUAAGGAUGAAAGCGGGGGAUCGCAAGACCUCGCGCGAUUGGAGCGGCCGAUAUCAGAUUAGGUAGUUGGUGAGGUAAAGGCUCACCAAGCCAACGAUCUGUAGCUGGUCUGAGAGGACGACCAGCCACACUGGAACUGAGACACGGUCCAGACUCCUACGGGAGGCAGCAGUGGGGAAUUUUGGACAAUGGACGCAAGUCUGAUCCAGCCAUUCCGCGUGCAGGACGAAGGCCUUCGGGCUGUAAACUGCUUUUGUACAGAACGAAAAGGUCUCUAUUAAUACUAGGGGCUCAUGACGGUACUGUAAGAAUAAGCACCGGCUAACUACGUGCCAGCCGCCGCGGUAA
This 502-nucleotide ribosomal RNA is filed under the name uncultured bacterium. RNAcentral describes it as "partial 16S ribosomal RNA". It matches the Rfam family "Bacterial small subunit ribosomal RNA", at positions 30 to 523 of the family's 1533-position model. The record is from RNAcentral.